GGCUACCACAUCUAAGGAAGGCAGCAGGCGCGUAAAUUACCCAAUCCCGAUUCGGGGAGGUAGUGACAAGAAAUAGCAAACUGGAUGAAUUUUCAUCACAGUAUUGCAAUGAGAACAAUGUAAAUGCUUUAUCGAUUAACAAUUGGAGGGCAAGUCUGGGGCCAGCAGCCGCGGUAAUUCCAGCUCCAAUAGCGUAUAUUAAAGUUGUUGCAGUUAAAAAGCUCGUAGUUGAAUUUCUAUACAUUCCCAGUUCUGGCUUCGGUCAAGCUGUGGAAUGUGCAUCCGCUUGCAAACUUAGACCGGCCUUCACUGGUCGACUAAGGGAGUAAGCCCUUUACUUUGAAAAAAUUAGAGUGUUUCAGGCAGGCAAUGGCUCGAAUACAUUAGCAUGGAAUAAUGGAAUAGGACUUUUGUCCAUUUGGUUGGUUAUUGGACAUAAGUAAUGAUUAAAAGGGACAGUUGGGGGCAUUAGUACUUAAUUGUCAGAGGUGAAAUUCUUGGAUUUAUUAAAGACUAACUUAUGCGAAAGCAUUUGCCAAGGAUGUUUUCAUUAAUCAAGAACGAAAGUUAGGGGAUCAAAGAC
This 583-nucleotide ribosomal RNA is filed under the name Philaster sp. cil2TANK. RNAcentral describes it as "SSU rRNA". It matches the Rfam family "Eukaryotic small subunit ribosomal RNA", at positions 405 to 1005 of the family's 1831-position model. Lineage: Eukaryota; Ciliophora; Oligohymenophorea; Philasterida; Philasteridae. The record is from RNAcentral.